GCGUGCGCAGGCGGUUAUAUAAGAACAGAUGUGAAAUCCCCGGGCCUCAACCUGGGAACUGCAUUUGUGACUGUAUAGCUGGAGUGCGGCAGAGGGGGAUGGAAUUCCGCGUGUAGCAGUGAAAUGCGUAGAUAUGCGGAGGAACACCGAUGGCGAAGGCAAUCCCCCUGGGCCUGCACUGACGCUCAUGCACGAAAGCGUGGGGAGCAAACAGGAUUAGAUACCCCAGU
This 230-nucleotide ribosomal RNA is filed under the name uncultured bacterium. Its description in RNAcentral is "partial 16S ribosomal RNA". It matches the Rfam family "Bacterial small subunit ribosomal RNA", at positions 565 to 791 of the family's 1533-position model. The record is from RNAcentral.